GGGUGAACAAUGAAAUAAAAGGCGUCCGGGUAUUGUUUCCGUCAUCUGACCGACUUUUAAGUCAUAAACAAGACUUUUUUAAAGACUGGUUUUAAACUUUUAAACAUAAUUUUCAUGAUUACUGGGGGACAGGACAACUAUGUUCGCGUUAUUCUGCAUGUAUAAUAUGAUUAUACUCCUAUAUUAUAUAGAGACUGUUUAUAAUAUAGCAGUAAUCGCCAUGGAGAAGCAAUUAGAAUUGGUAGUUAAUAGUAAAUUCACUUUAUUUAUAACAUAACGAUUUUCAUAGGCAUAGUAUACAGAAACGCUAAAAUCC
This 316-nucleotide long non-coding RNA is filed under the name Mytilus galloprovincialis (Mediterranean mussel). The record is from RNAcentral. Lineage: Eukaryota; Metazoa; Mollusca; Bivalvia; Mytilida; Mytilidae.